AUGUGUGCUCACACGCAAGUCCCCUAUAUAGUGGGUGGUGAUUUCAAUAUCAUUAGAGAAAACUAUGAGAAGAACAAAACCAUGAACCGAUCCCCUUAUAUGGAUAAGUUCAACUCCAUCAUAGAUUCACUAAGCCUUCAGGAGAUAUACAUGGGAGGGGGCAAAUACACAUGGACUAAUAAUCAAAACCACCCCACCCUGGAGAAACUUGAUAGAAUUUUGAUGAGUUUUGAUUGGGAGGACUUGUUCCCUUUGGUUACAGUUCGUAAAUUGGUUAGAGAUGUUUCCGACCACAACCCACUCCUCCUGUCCUCGGGAACGAAGAAAAUGGAUACGUCCCACCAACAUGAGUUCAGAUUUGAGCUCAGCUGGCUGCGAGAUGAAAACUUCUACCCCACUGCCAAAAAGAUCUGGGAACAACCAGUCCGGGCUGAUGAUCCUAUUGAUAUCCUUAAUAUCAAAUUGAAAUGGUUCAAAAAAUACUUUUAA
Molecule: ribosomal RNA, 489 nt
Filed under: Triticum aestivum (bread wheat)
Lineage: Eukaryota; Viridiplantae; Streptophyta; Magnoliopsida; Poales; Poaceae
Description: partial small subunit ribosomal RNA
Source: RNAcentral